UACGGGGGGGGGCAAGCGUUGUUCGGAAUUACUGGGCGUAAAGGGCUCGUAGGCGGCCAACUAAGUCGGAUGUGAAAUCCCCAGGCUUAACCUGGGAACUGCAUCCGAUACUGGAUGGCUUGAAUUCGGGAGAGGGAUGCAGAAUUCCAGGUGUAGCGGUGAAAUGCGUAGAUAUCUGGAGGAAUACCGGUGGCGAAGGCGGCAUCCUGGACCGACAUUGACGCUGAGGAGCGAAAGCUAGGGGAGCAA
This 249-nucleotide ribosomal RNA is filed under the name uncultured bacterium. RNAcentral describes it as "partial 16S ribosomal RNA". It matches the Rfam family "Bacterial small subunit ribosomal RNA", at positions 524 to 771 of the family's 1533-position model. The record is from RNAcentral.